CAUGCCACUGCACCUGCCUAAU
This 22-nucleotide microRNA is filed under the name Macaca fascicularis (crab-eating macaque). RNAcentral describes it as "novel_miR67-5p". The record is from RNAcentral. Lineage: Eukaryota; Metazoa; Chordata; Mammalia; Primates; Cercopithecidae.